CUACGGGGGGCAGCAGUGAGGAAUAUUGCACAAUGGGGGGAACCCUGAUGCAGCAACGCCGCGUGGAGGAUGACGCAUUUCGGUGUGUAAACUCCUUUUAUAUGUCAAGAAAAUGACGGUAGCAUAUGAAUAAGCACCGGCUAACUCCGUGCCAGCAGCCGCGGUAAUACGGGAGGGUGCAAGCGUUACUCGGAAUCACUGGGCGUAAAGGACGCGUAGGCGGGUUGGAAAGUCAGGUGUGAAAUCCUACAGCUUAACUGUAGAACUGCACUUGAAACUUCUAAUCGAGAGUAUGGGAGGGGGAGAUGGAAUUAGUGGUGUAGGGGUAAAAUCCGUAGAUAUCACUAGGAAUACCUAAAGCGAAGGCGAUCUCCUGGAACAUUACUGACGCUAAGGCGUGAAAGCGUGGGGAGCAAACAGGAUUAGAUACUGGUAGUC
This 438-nucleotide ribosomal RNA is filed under the name uncultured bacterium. RNAcentral describes it as "partial 16S ribosomal RNA". It matches the Rfam family "Bacterial small subunit ribosomal RNA", at positions 339 to 795 of the family's 1533-position model. The record is from RNAcentral.